GAGGUGGCACAGUUAAAAAUGCUAAGAUCUGCACUUGGUGUGACGAGGUUGGAUAGGAUUAGAAAUGAGGACAUUAGAGGGUCAGCUCAAGUUGGACGGUUGGGAGACAAAGUCAGAGAGGCGAGACUGCAUUGGUUUGGACAUAUGCUGGGUAUAAUGGGAGAAGGGUACUAAGGAUAGAGCUGCCAGGAAAGAGGAGAAGAGGAAGGACUAAGAGGAGGUUUAUGGAUGUGGUGAGAGAGGACAUGCAGGUGAUGGGUGUAACAGAACAAGAUGACGAGGACAGGAAGAUAUGGAAG
Erpetoichthys calabaricus (reedfish) is the source of this 299-nucleotide long non-coding RNA. RefSeq lists it as uncharacterized. The transcript is spliced from 3 exons. The record is from RefSeq and is a predicted model, not a curated record. NCBI's taxonomy places the organism in Eukaryota, Metazoa, Chordata, Cladistia, Polypteriformes, Polypteridae.